ACCUACUUCUCCAUUAAUUUUAUACGUUAAGACUCCUAGGCUUACUAUGCAUCAGUUACACGUUACAAUACAAACCUCCCUGCCUUCUUCAAGUUUCACAAGAUAAAACCUCACUUUUCACCUUCAGUUUUUCAUAUGAUAUCCAUAAAUAAACAUCCUUAUUCCUCCUUUAAAACUCAAAUCUCAAGAAUCUGAUGAAAUUCAUUCAAGAAAACAAGAAUAAUCCCUUCUCCAGAUCUCAACAUCUUCAAACGUUUUGAGGUUCUGGCUCUCAAGUCCACGAUCAGGCACCUCAUUAGGAUUCCUAACUUCUGUUAUUGUUGGUUGUCAAACCCUUGUCAUUAUUGCUGCUCUGCCAUAUUGAUGAGUACAGUGCAGCAGACGAUGGUCAAUAGUUUCAACUCAUGCACUUUCUUCUAGCCAAGACCAUUCUAGGACGAAUGAAUCCAAGGCGGAGAUAAUGUAACACCCUGAACGUUCGAGCUAAAAAUAAAACAGAUUGGACUGUUCUUCAAAUGUACUUAGACCUGAAUCUAUAUAUUUUAUUGUAUUUAAGUGUAAAGGUCAUGUCUAAAGUGUCGUAGGGGUAUUGGGUAUGAAUUAAGGGCAUAAGAAAGCUCUAAAACAAGUUUGAGUUGAAAGGUUCUUUAAUGAUUAAGUUUUUGUAUAGGUU
Molecule: long non-coding RNA, 673 nt
Organism: Capsicum annuum
Lineage: Eukaryota; Viridiplantae; Streptophyta; Magnoliopsida; Solanales; Solanaceae
Exons: 3
Source: RefSeq, a predicted model, not a curated record